Brienomyrus brachyistius is the source of this 2976-nucleotide long non-coding RNA. RefSeq lists it as uncharacterized. The record is from RefSeq and is a predicted model, not a curated record. NCBI's taxonomy places the organism in Eukaryota, Metazoa, Chordata, Actinopteri, Osteoglossiformes, Mormyridae. The transcript has 4 exons.
GUAGGAUAAGAAUGUGUAAGAUAGGAUAAGGUAGGAUAGGAACGGCUAAGAUAUGAUAGAAUAGGAUAAGGUAGGAUAGGAAUGCCAAUUGCAAGAUAGAAUAGAAUAAGGUAGGAUAGCAAUGGCUAAAGGUAAGAUAGAAUAGGAUAAGGUAGCAUAGGAACGGCUAAGAUAUGAUAGAAUAUGCUGGUUAGUAAAGAGUAAUUUAAGAUAGAAUAGUAUAAGGUAGGAUUGGAAUGCCAAUUGUAAGAUAGAAUAGCAUGUGGUAGGAUUAGAAUGGGUAAGAUAGGAUGGAAUAGAAUAAGGUAGCAUAUGAACGGCUAAGAUAUGAUAGAAUAGAAUAAGGUAGGAUAGUAAUGGCUAAAGGUAAUAUAGAAUAGGAUAAGGUAGCAUAGGAACGGCUAAGAUAUGAUAGAAUAUGCUGGUUAGUAAAGAGUAAUUUAAGAUAGAAUAGUAUAAGGUAGGAUUGGAAUGACUAGGGCAAGAUAGAAUACGAUGUGGUAGGAUAAGAAUGUGUAAGAUAGGAUAAGGUAGGUUAGGAACGGCUAAGGUAUGAUAUAAUCGUAUAAGAUAGGAACGGCUAAGAUAGCAUUUGGUAGGAUAGCAACGGGUAAGGUAAGAUAGAGUAGGAUGUGAAUAUGAAAAGGUAGAAUAUGAAAAGGUAGGAUAGGAAUGGCUAUGGUAUGAUAGCAUAGGAUGUGGUAGCAUAUGAACGGCUAAGAUAUUAUUGGAUAGGAUAAGGUAGGAUAGGAAUGGAGAAAGGUAAGAUAGAAUAGGAGAAGGUAGCAUAGGGAUGGCUAAGGUAAGAUAGAACAGGAUAAGGUAGCAUAGGAACGGCUAAGAUAUGAUAGAAUAAGCUGGUUAGGAAAGAGUAAUAUAAGAUAGAAUAGGAUAAGGUACGAUAGGAACAGCUGAGGUAUGAUAGAAUCGUAUAAGAUAGGAAUGGCUAAGAUAGAAUUAGGUAGGAUAGCAACGGUUAAGCUAAGAUAGAAUAAGAUAAGGUAGGAUAAAAAUGGCUAAGGUAUGAUAGAAUAGGCCAAGAUAGGAUAGGAAUGGCUAAGGUAAGAUUGAAUAGGAUAAGGUAGCAUAGGAAUGGUUAAGGUAAGAUAGGAUAUGAUGUGGUAGGAUAAGAAUGUGUAGGAUAGGAUAAGAUAGGAUAGGAACGGCUAAGAUAUGAUAGAAUAUGCUGGUUAGUAAAGAGUAAUUUAAUAUAGAAUAGUAUUAGGUAGGAUUGGAAUGACUAGGGCAAGAUAGAAUAGGAUGUGGUAGGAUAAGAAUGUGUAAGAUAGGAUAAGAUAGGAUAGGAACGGCUAAGAUAUAAUAGAAUAGGAUAAGGUAUGAUAGGAAUGCCAAUUGUAAGAUAGAAUAGGAUGUGGUAGGAUUAGAAUGGGUAAGAUAGGAUGGAAUAGGAUUAGGUAGGAAAGGAACGGGUAAGAUAUGAUAGAAUAGGAUAAGGUAGCAUAGGAACGGAUAAGAUAUGAUAGAAUAUGCUGGUUAGGAAAGAGUAAUUUGAGAUAGAAUAGUAUAAGGUAGGAUUGGAAUGACUAGGGCAAGAUAGAAUAGGAUGUGGUAGGAUAAGAAUGUAUAAGAUAGGAUAAGGUAGGUUAGGAACGGCUAAGGUAUGAUAUAAUCGGAUUAGAUAGGAACGGCUAAGAUAGCAUUAGGUACGAUAGCAACGGGUAAGCUAAGAUAGAAUAGGGUUUGCUAGGAUGAAAAUGGCAAAGACAUGAUAGGAUAAGGUAGUAUAGGAACGGCUAAUAUGAGAUAGAAUAAGAUAAGGUAGGAUAAAAAUGGCUAAGGUAUGAUAGAAUAGGCCAAGAUAGGAUAGGAAUGGCUAAGGUAAGAUUGAAUAGGAUAAGGUAGGAUAGGAAUGGUUAAGGUAAGAUAGGAUAUGAUGUGGUAGGAUAAGAAUGUGUAGGAUAGGAUAAGAUAGGAUUGGAACGGCUAAGAUAUAAUAGAAUAGGAUAAGGUAGGAUAGGAAUGGUUAAGGUAAGAUAGAAUAGGAUGUGGUAGGAUAAGAAUGUGUAAGAUAGGAUAAGGUAGGAUAGGAACGGCUUAGAUAUAAUAGAAUAGGAUAAGGUAGGAUAGGAAUGCCAAUUGUAAGAUAGAAUAGGAUAUGGUAGGAUUAGAAUGUGUAAGAUAGGAUGGAAUAGGAUAAGGUAGGAAAGGAACGGGUAAGAUAUGAUAGAAAAGGGUAAGGUAGGAUAGGAAUGGUUAAGGUAAGAUAGGAUAGGAUGUGGUAGGAUAAGAAUGUGUAAGAUAGGAUAAGGUAGGAUAGGAACGGCUAAGAUAUAAAAGAAUAGGAUAAGGUAGGAUAGGAAUGCCAAUUGUAAGAUAGAAUAGCAUGUGGUAGGAUUAGAAUGGGUAAGAUAGGAUGGAAUAGAAUAAGGUAGCAUAUGAACGGCUAAGAUAUGAUAGAAUAGAAUAAGGUAGGAUAGCAAUGGCUGAAGGUAAUAUAGAAUAGGAUUAGGUAGCAUAGGAACGGCUAAGAUAUGAUAGAAUAUGCUGGUUAGUAAAGAGUAAUUUAAGAUAGAAUAGUAUAAGGUAGGAUAGGAACAGCUGAGGUAUUAUAGAAUCGUAUAAGAUAGGAACGGCUAAGAUAGAAUUAGGUAGGAUAGCAACGGGUAAGCUAAGAUAGAAUAGGAUGUGGUAGGAUGAAAAUGGCUAAGGUAUGAUAGAAUAGGCCAAGAUAGGAUAGGAAUGGCUAAGGUAAGAUUGAAUAGGAUAAGGUAGCAUAGGAAUGGUUAAGGUAAGAUAGGAUAUGAUGUGGUAGGAUAAGAAUGUGUAGGAUAGGAUAAGAUAGGAUAGGAACGGCUAAGAUAUAAUAGAAUAGGAUAAGGUAUGAUAGGAAUGCCAAUUUUAAGAUAGAAUAGGAUGUGGUAGGAUUAGAAUGGGUAAGAUAGGAUGGAAUAGGAUGAGGUAGGAAAGGAACGGGUAAGAUAUGAUAGAAUAGGGUAAGGUAGGAUAGGAAUGGUU